AAGUAAAAGUCGUAACAAGGUCUCCGUUGGUGAACCAGCGGAGGGAUCAUUGCUGGAACGCGCUUCGGCGCACCCAGAAACCCUUUGUGAACUUAUACCUAUUGUUGCCUCGGCGUCAGGCCGGCCUCUUCACUGAGGCCCCCCGGAGACGGGGAGCAGCCCGCCGGCGGCCAACUAAACUCUUGUUUCUAUAGUGAAUCUCUGAGUAAAAAACAUAAAUGAAUCAAAACUUUCAACAACGGAUCUCUUGGUUCUGGCAUCGAUGAAGAACGCAGCGAAAUGCGAUAAGUAAUGUGAAUUGCAGAAUUCAGUGAAUCAUCGAAUCUUUGAACGCACAUUGCGCCCCCUGGUAUUCCGGGGGGCAUGCCUGUUCGAGCGUCAUUUCAACCCUCAAGCCUGGCUUGGUGAUGGGGCACUGCUUCGAGAGGAGCAGGCCCUGAAAUUCAGUGGCGAGCUCGCCAGGACCCCGAGCGUAGUAGUUAUAUCUCGCUUUGGAAGGCCCUGGCGGUGCCCUGCCGUUAAACCCCCAACUUCUGAAAAUUUGACCUCGGAUCAGGUAGGAAUACCCGCUGAACUUAAGCAUAU
RNAcentral lists this ribosomal RNA (585 nucleotides) under Diaporthe helianthi. RNAcentral's name for it is "eukaryotic LSU rRNA". The stretch from base 228 to 381 matches the Rfam family "5.8S ribosomal RNA". Lineage: Eukaryota; Fungi; Ascomycota; Sordariomycetes; Diaporthales; Diaporthaceae. The record is from RNAcentral.